RNAcentral lists this transfer RNA (65 nucleotides) under Ptychorhynchus pfisteri. RNAcentral's name for it is "tRNA-Thr". Lineage: Eukaryota; Metazoa; Mollusca; Bivalvia; Unionida; Unionidae. The record is from RNAcentral.
GCUUUGAGAAGCUAAUCAGCAUCGGUCUUGUAAACCGAAGACAGGCUAUAAUUUCCCCAAAGCUC